AUGAGAAACUAAGUUAUGUUUAGUUAUAUUUUUACUGAUUUUUAUAGAGUAAAGAUAGAAAUAAAACUUAGUAAAAUCAGUAAAAAUAUUCUUAGGCUAAAGUUAAGUAGUUUAAGUUGUGUGCAAGUGGUAGGAGAGCGUUCUAUUUGCGUCGAAGGUAUACCGGUAAGGAGUGCUGGAGCGAAUAGAAGUGAGCAUGCAGGCAUGAGUAGCGAUAAUUAAUGUGAGAAUCAUUAACGCCGUAAACCCAAGGUUUCCUACGCGAUGCUCGUCAUCGUAGGGUUAGUCGGGUCCUAAGUCGAGUCCGAAAGGGGUAGACGAUGGCAAAUUGGUUAAUAUUCCAAUACCAACAUUAGUGUGCGAUGGAAGGACGCUUAGGGCUAAGGGGGCUAGCGGAUGGAAGUGCUAGUCUAAGGUCGUAGGAGGUUAUACAGGCAAAUCCGUAUAACAAUACUCCGAGAACUGAAAGGCUUUUUGAAGUCUUCGGAUGGAUAGAAGAACCCCUGAUGCCGUCGAGCCAAGAAAAGUUUCUAAGUUUAGCUAAUGUUGCCCGUACCGUAAACCGACACAGGUGGGUGGGAUGAGUAUUCUAAGGCGCGUGGAAGAACUCUCUUUAAGGAACUCUGCAAAAUAGCACCGUAUCUUCGGUAUAAGGUGUGGUUAGCUUUGUAUUAGGAUUUACUCCGAAAGCAAGGAAACUUACAACAAAGAGUCCCUCCCGACUGUUUACCAAAAACACAGCACUCUGCUAACUCGUAAGAGGAUGUAUAGGGUGUGACGCCUGCCCGGUGCUCGAAGGUUAAUUGAUGGGGUUAGCAUUAGCGAAGCUCUUGAUCGAAGCCCGAGUAAACGGCGGCCGUAACUAUAACGGUCCUAAGGUAGCGAAAUUCCUUGUCGGUUAAAUACCGACCUGCAUGAAUGGCGUAACGAGAUGGGAGCUGUCUCAAAGAGGGAUCCAGUGAAAUUGUAGUGGAGGUGAAAAUUCCUCCUACCCGCGGCAAGACGGAAAGACCCCGUGGACCUUUACUACAGCUUGACACUGCUACUUGGAUAAGAAUGUGCAGGAUAGGUGGGAGGCUUUGAGUAUAUGACGCCAGUUGUAUAUGAGCCAUUGUUGAGAUACCACUCUUUCUUAUUUGGGUAGCUAACCAGCUUGAGUUAUCCUCAAGUGGGACAAUGUCUGGUGGGUAGUUUGACUGGGGCGGUCGCCUCCCAAAUAAUAACGGAGGCUUACAAAGGUUGGCUCAGAACGGUUGGAAAUCGUUCGUAGAGUAUAAAGGUAUAAGCCAGCUUAACUGCAAGACAUACAAGUCAAGCAGAGACGAAAGUCGGUCUUAGUGAUCCGGUGGUUCUGUGUGGAAGGGCCAUCGCUCAAAGGAUAAAAGGUACCCCGGGGAUAACAGGCUGAUCUCCCCCAAGAGCUCACAUCGACGGGGAGGUUUGGCACCUCGAUGUCGGCUCAUCGCAUCCUGGGGCUGGAGCAGGUCCCAAGGGUAUGGCUGUUCGCCAUUUAAAGCGGUACGCGAGCUGGGUUCAGAACGUCGUGAGACAGUUCGGUCCCUAUCUGCCGUGGGCGUAAGAAGAUUGAAGAGAUUUGACCCUAGUACGAGAGGACCGGGUUGAACAAACCACUGGUGUAGCUGUUGUUCUGCCAAGAGCAUCGCAGCGUAGCUAAGUUUGGAAAGGAUAAACGCUGAAAGCAUCUAAGCGUGAAGCCAACUCUAAGAUGAAUCUUCUCUAAGCUCUCUAGAAGACUACUAGUUUGAUAGGCUGGGUGUGUAAUGGAUGAAAGUCCUUUAGCUGACCAGUACUAAUAGAGCGUUUGGCUUAUCUUU
This 1835-nucleotide ribosomal RNA is filed under the name Campylobacter jejuni. Its description in RNAcentral is "partial 23S ribosomal RNA". It matches the Rfam family "Bacterial large subunit ribosomal RNA", at positions 1029 to 2925 of the family's 2925-position model. Lineage: Bacteria; Pseudomonadati; Campylobacterota; Epsilonproteobacteria; Campylobacterales; Campylobacteraceae. The record is from RNAcentral.